This 882-nucleotide ribosomal RNA is filed under the name uncultured Planctomycetota bacterium. Its description in RNAcentral is "bacterial SSU rRNA". It matches the Rfam family "Bacterial small subunit ribosomal RNA", at positions 8 to 916 of the family's 1533-position model. Lineage: Bacteria; Pseudomonadati; Planctomycetota. The record is from RNAcentral.
AGAGUUUGAUCCUGGCUCAGCCUGAACGCUGGCAGCGUGGUUAAGACAUGCAAGUCGCACGGAUAUAGCAAUAUAUCAGUGGCGCACGGGUGAGUAAUGUAUCGCUAAUGUACCCCGGACUCUGGGAUAGCCAUCCGAAAGGAUGGGUAAUACCAGAUAAUAUGACCGAACCGCAUGGUUUGGUCCUCAACGGUCCGCCGGUCUGGGAGCAGGCGAUAUCGUAUCAGCUAGUUGGUGAGGUAACGGCUCACCAAGGCGACGACGCGUAGCCGGACUGAGAGGUCGGUCGGCCACAUCGGGACUGAGACACUGCCCGGACUCCUACGGGGGGCUGCAGUAACGAAUCUUCCCCAAUGCACGAAAGUGUGAGGGAGCGACGCUGCGUGGAGGAUGAAGUCCUUCGGGAUGUAAACUCCUGUCAGGAGCUACCAAGUUCUGAGGAGCUCCAAAGGAAGAGGCGGCUAACUCUGUGCCAGCAGCCGCGGUAAGACAGAGGCCUCGAGCGUUAGGCGGAAUCACUGGGCCUAAAGCGUGUGUAGGUGGAUUCUUAAGUGCUUUGUGAAAUCCCACGGCUUAACCGUGGAACUGCUUGGCAUACUGGGAAUCUUGAGCUAUCUAGGGGCAACUGGAACAGACGGUGGAGCGGUGAAAUGCGUAGAUAUCGUCUGGAACGCCAAUGGUGAAGACAGGUUGCUGGGGAUAUGCUGACACUGAGACACGAAAGCCAGGGGAGCAAACGGGAUUAGAUACCCCGGUAGUCCUGGCCCUAAACGAUGUCCACUAGAUCGCAGCACUUUUGACGGUGUUGUGGUCGAAGUAAAAAUGUUAAGUGGACCGCCUGGGAAGUACGGUCGCAAGGCUAAAACUCAAAGGAAUUGACGG